GAAUGAUUAUUUGGAGUUAGGUACAAAAUUGGAUUUUUGAAGACCUGGAGAGAUCCGGAUCUAUUAUUAUGUUGACAAACGGAACAAACUCUAUUUUGUUUAACGUAGAUGAGCCAAUAUUGAUUUCCAGGCUAAAAAUUAGACCUUAAGUUUUAUAUCUCUUAUUUCUCAAAGCAAACCUCUUAUUAAAAGGUUUUUUAUUGAAAAAAUACUGCUACCUGGGAGCUGUUAACCUUGGUAAAUUAUUGGUGUUUUGUGACUCUGUCUGAAAAAUGACUGUGGUUAAUUACAUAGUGCGAUCUUUCCAAGUCACCAGAAGCAGGAAGUAGUCGUUUGCUUGUAACAUAAGAUGAUUUACGUGUAUGU
This 366-nucleotide long non-coding RNA is filed under the name Bos taurus (domestic cattle). Its description in RNAcentral is "long non-coding RNA NONBTAT016271". Lineage: Eukaryota; Metazoa; Chordata; Mammalia; Artiodactyla; Bovidae. The record is from RNAcentral.